Molecule: ribosomal RNA, 330 nt
Filed under: uncultured bacterium
Lineage: Bacteria
Description: bacterial SSU rRNA
Rfam family: Bacterial small subunit ribosomal RNA
Source: RNAcentral
AUUGAACGCUGGCGGCAUGCCUUACACAUGCAAGUCGAACGGCAGCACGGGAGCAAUCCUGGUGGCGAGUGGCGAACGGGUGAGUAAUAUAUCGGAACGUGCCCAGUCGUGGGGAUAACGUAGCGAAAGCUACGCUAAUACCGCAUACGAUCUAAGGAUGAAAGCGGGGGAUCGCAAGACCUCGCGCGAUUGGAGCGGCCGAUAUCAGAUUAGCUAGUUGGUGAGGUAAAGGCUCACCAAGGCGACGAUCUGUAGCUGGUCUGAGAGGACGACCAGCCACACUGGGACUGAGACAGGCCCAGACUCCUACGGGAGGCAGCAGUGGGGGAA